RNAcentral lists this long non-coding RNA (203 nucleotides) under Elaeis guineensis (African oil palm). Its description in RNAcentral is "long non-coding RNA (EGUI_LNC045668)". Lineage: Eukaryota; Viridiplantae; Streptophyta; Magnoliopsida; Arecales; Arecaceae. The record is from RNAcentral.
ACAUAUGAAAAAAAUCAAAUCCUAGGACAAGCUAGCAACAUUUGCUAUUUUUCUCACCACCCUUCUUACUAUUUUUCUUCUCAAUUUUUUUCUUUGUCUUUUUUCAAUUAUUUUUUAGAUUUUUUCUCUCAUAUCACAUACCAAAUACCUCUGAUUUUCAAUCAAAAUCCAGCACCCAACCCAUAUAGGACACCCCAUAUAAA